RNAcentral lists this ribosomal RNA (503 nucleotides) under uncultured bacterium. Its description in RNAcentral is "partial 16S ribosomal RNA". It matches the Rfam family "Bacterial small subunit ribosomal RNA", at positions 30 to 523 of the family's 1533-position model. The record is from RNAcentral.
AUUGAACGCUGGCGGCAGGCUUAACACAUGCAAGUCGAGCGGGGUGAUGGUGCUUGCACUAUCACUUAGCGGCGGACGGGUGAGUAAUGCUUAGGAAUCUGCCUAUUAGUGGGGGACAACAUCUCGAAAGGGAUGCUAAUACCGCAUACGUCCUAUGGGAGAAAGCAGGGGAUCACUUGUGACCUUGCGCUAAUAGAUGAGCCUAAGUCGGAUUAGCUAGUUGGUGGGGUAAAGGCCUACCAAGGCGACGAUCUGUAGCGGGUCUGAGAGGAUGAUCCGCCACGCGGGGACUGGGACACGGCCCAGACUCCGACGGGAGGCAGCAGUGGGGAAGAUUGGACAAUGGGGGGAACCAUGAUCCAGCCAUGCCGCGUGUGUGAAGAAGGCCUUAUGGUUGUAAAGCACUUUAAGCGAGGAGGAGGCUCUUUUGGUUAAUACCCAAGAUGAGUGGACGUUACUCGCAGAAUAAGCACCGGCUAACUCUGUGCCAGCCGCCGCCGUAA